GUGCCAGCAGCCGCGGUAAUACGGAGGAUGCGAGCGUUAUCCGGAUUUAUUGGGUUUAAAGGGUGCGUAGGCUGAUCGGUAAGUCGGCGGUGAAAUGCCAUGGCUCAACCAUGGGAUUGCCGCUGAAACUGUCGGUCUUGAAUAUGGUCAAGGUAGGCGGAAUGUGUAAUGUAGCGGUGAAAUGCUUAGAUAUUACACAGAACACCGAUUGCGAAGGCAGCUUGCUGGGCCAGCAUUGACGCUGAGGCACGAAAGCGUGGGGAUCGAACAGGAUUAGAUACCCUGGUAGUCC
RNAcentral lists this ribosomal RNA (292 nucleotides) under uncultured prokaryote. RNAcentral describes it as "partial 16S ribosomal RNA". It matches the Rfam family "Bacterial small subunit ribosomal RNA", at positions 505 to 796 of the family's 1533-position model. The record is from RNAcentral.